GCUGUGGCUUAGUGUUAGAGCACUUGCCUAGCAUGUGUGAGACACUGGGUUCAAUUCUCAGCACUGCA
RNAcentral lists this transfer RNA (68 nucleotides) under Marmota monax (woodchuck). RNAcentral's name for it is "tRNA.Ala". Lineage: Eukaryota; Metazoa; Chordata; Mammalia; Rodentia; Sciuridae. The record is from RNAcentral.